Molecule: ribosomal RNA, 321 nt
Filed under: Bacillus sonorensis
Lineage: Bacteria; Bacillati; Bacillota; Bacilli; Caryophanales; Bacillaceae
Description: bacterial SSU rRNA
Rfam family: Bacterial small subunit ribosomal RNA
Source: RNAcentral
UGGAAACUGGGGAACUUGAGUGCACAAGAGGAGAGUGGAAUUCCACGUGUAGCGGUGAAAUGCGUAGAGAUGUGGAGGAACACCAAUGGCGAAGGCGACUCUCUGGUCUGUAACUGACGCUGAGGCGCGAAAGCGUGGGGAGCGAACAGGAUUAAAUACCCUGGUAGUCCACGCCGUAAACGAUGAAUGCUAAGUGUUAGAGGGGUUCCGCCCUUUAGUGCUGCAGCAAACGCAUUAAACCCUCCCCCUGGGGAGUACGGGCGCAAGACUGAAACUCAAAGGAAUUGACGGGGGCCCGCACCAGCGGUGGAGCAUGUGGUU